Vidua macroura (Pin-tailed whydah) is the source of this 355-nucleotide long non-coding RNA. RefSeq lists it as uncharacterized. The record is from RefSeq and is a predicted model, not a curated record. The transcript is spliced from 3 exons. Lineage: Eukaryota; Metazoa; Chordata; Aves; Passeriformes; Viduidae.
GGCCGAGCACCACCCCAGAGCGAGGAACACGGAACCGGGAGCACCACGGGGACCCAUGGAGCAUCCACCCGGGGCAGCGGUGAAGAGGGUGCCGGGAUCGGGCGGGAGGAGCACGGACACCCACCGGAGCAUCCCCCUGAGGGUAGGAAUCCCCACGGAGCAGCGAGAGCUGCGGAGCAUCCCCGGGGUGAGAAGGGAGGACACCGACAGAGAAUCCCUUGGGUCACCGAGCAUCGAGAGCGACCGAGCAUCCCCGUGGUGAGGACGACGGUGCCAGGAGCAGCACGGAGAGUGAGAUAGCAUCCCCCAGAGGGUGGGAAUCCCGACAGAGAGCGGCGGAGCAUCCCCGGGGGUG